This 427-nucleotide ribosomal RNA is filed under the name uncultured bacterium. Its description in RNAcentral is "bacterial SSU rRNA". It matches the Rfam family "Bacterial small subunit ribosomal RNA", at positions 355 to 774 of the family's 1533-position model. The record is from RNAcentral.
UAGGGAAUCUUCGGCAAUGGACGGAAGUCUGACCGAGCAACGCCGCGUGAGUGAAGAAGGUUUUCGGAUCGUAAAACUCUGUUGUUAGAGAAGAACAAGGAUGAGAGUAACUGUUCAUCCCUUGACGGUAUCUAACCAGAAAGCCACGGCUAACUACGUGCCAGCAGCCGCGGUAAUACGUAGGUGGCAAGCGUUGUCCGGAUUUAUUGGGCGUAAAGCGAGCGCAGGCGGUUUCUUAAGUCUGAUGUGAAAGCCCCCGGCUUAACCGGGGAGGGUCAUUGGAAACUGGGAGACUUGAGUGCAGAAGAGGAGAGUGGAAUUCCAUGUGUAGCGGUGAAAUGCGUAGAUAUAUGGAGGAACACCAGUGGCGAAGGCGACUCUCUGGUCUGUAACUGACGCUGAGGCUCGAAAGCGUGGGGAGCAAACA